UGGGGGAUAUUGCACAAUGGGCGAAAGCCUGAUGCAGCGACGCCGCGUGGGGGAUGAAGGCUUUCGGGUUGUAAACCUCUUUCGCUAUCGAACAAGGCCCGCUUAGGGUGGGUUGAGGGUAGGUGGAGAAGAGGCGCCGGCUAACUACGUGCCAGCAGCCGCGGUAAUACGUAGGGCGCGAGCGUUGUCCGGAAUUAUUGGGCGUAAAGGGCUUGUAGGCGGCUUGUUGCGCCUGCUGUGAAAACGCGGGGCUUAACUUCGCGCGUGCAGUGGGUACGGGCAGGCUUGAGUGUGGUAGGGGUGACUGGAAUUCCAGGUGUAGCGGUGGAAUGCGCAGAUAUCUGGAGGAACACCGAUGGCGAAGGCAGGUCACUGGGCCAUUACUGACGCUGAGGAGCGAAAGCAUGGGUAGCGAACAGG
RNAcentral lists this ribosomal RNA (420 nucleotides) under bacterium. RNAcentral's name for it is "partial 16S ribosomal RNA". It matches the Rfam family "Bacterial small subunit ribosomal RNA", at positions 355 to 776 of the family's 1533-position model. The record is from RNAcentral.